AUCUCUAUGUGCAUGAUGGUUUCUGAUUAAUGUAUCUAUUUUCAGUGCACACUACCACAGUUUGAUUAGUGUUCACCUAUGCCCUUGUAUUCCUUCUCUCCUUAACAGUUCUGGCAACUCUAGGAUGCAAGAUGGUUUUAUUGCUUCACUAAAGGAUGUCUCUCAAGGGCCUGCUUUCCAGUCGAGGGGGCAGCAUUUAUAUGUUGAAGUUGCACUUGGUUGCCCAAGAUAUGAGAGUAGCAAGUCAAUGCAAUUGGGCUCCAGUUCAGGUAGGAAUCUACAAAAAAAUCAUGCCGCAGAAUCUCCAGCUGUGGCAAGAGGCGAUCACAGUG
RNAcentral lists this long non-coding RNA (332 nucleotides) under Linum usitatissimum (flax). RNAcentral's name for it is "long non-coding RNA (LUSI_LNC001137)". The record is from RNAcentral. Lineage: Eukaryota; Viridiplantae; Streptophyta; Magnoliopsida; Malpighiales; Linaceae.